UUAACUGGUACUUCUCUUGCCUCGAAUUUUCAUGUCUUUGAAAUCAAUUGUGUUUUAGGUUUGAUUGAUUUUCUGGUUAAAAUGGAUUUAAGGAUUGGGGACGCUGCCGCCCCAUCGUGGACACCUCCAAUUUAUUCUUUUUGUCCAUUUGGAGCAGUUGAGGCUUGAGGAAUCUGGAUAAUAGAAGUUGGAGAAGGGAAAGUUGCUGGGUUAGUUUGAAAUCGGAAAUUGGUUGCUGACAUUAAAAGGAUGAAUGACUUUGCUGCAGAUCUUCGAAUGUUUGCUUUGAAGUACUUUUACCAGGUACAUUGACUACCCUUGUUUUUGGGGGAUUAUGUUGAUCGGGACAGCACAGCUUGGAGACAAUAACUCUACUCCUUGCACUCAAGGC
Rosa chinensis is the source of this 391-nucleotide long non-coding RNA. RefSeq lists it as uncharacterized. The record is from RefSeq and is a predicted model, not a curated record. The transcript has 4 exons. Lineage: Eukaryota; Viridiplantae; Streptophyta; Magnoliopsida; Rosales; Rosaceae.